Molecule: ribosomal RNA, 278 nt
Filed under: uncultured marine eukaryote
Lineage: Eukaryota
Description: partial 18S ribosomal RNA
Rfam family: Eukaryotic small subunit ribosomal RNA
Source: RNAcentral
UUAAAAAGCUCGUAGUUGGAUUUCUGUGGGGACGGAGCGGCCGGCCGCAACUCGCGGUUCGAGCUAGCGCUUUCCCUACAUCCUGCCGCGAACCGUGCUACCAUUAGUUUGGUGGCGCCGGGGAUCGGCUCGUUUACUUUGAGAAAAAUAGAGUGUUCAAAGCAGGCCACACGCCUUGAAUAAGUUAGCAUGGAAUAAUAACUAAGGACUUCGGUUCUAUUUUGUUGGUGUUCGGGACUGAAGUAAUGAUUGAUAGGGACAGUUGGGGCGGUCCGUAU